GCCGCGCGGCCCACCGCCACCUCGAAGGGGCUCUUGGCGAUGUGCUGCCCCGCAAACAGCACCGUCACCUUGUGCACGCCGGUCACUUUGGGCACGUAGGAGACGCUGAACGUCCGGUUCUUGUCGUUGUUCGGCACCACUUUCGCCUCCUCACGGUGCCCCUCGGGGUCCUCCACGUACACGGUCACGUCCCCCUGCCCCGCACUGAUGGUCUCCACUGUGAACUCGGCGCGCUGCUUCACCACGUUCCCUGUGGGCUCAAUGCC
Molecule: long non-coding RNA, 266 nt
Filed under: Gallus gallus (chicken)
Lineage: Eukaryota; Metazoa; Chordata; Aves; Galliformes; Phasianidae
Source: RNAcentral